This is a long non-coding RNA of Etheostoma spectabile (orangethroat darter), 182 nucleotides long. RefSeq lists it as uncharacterized. The transcript has 3 exons. NCBI's taxonomy places the organism in Eukaryota, Metazoa, Chordata, Actinopteri, Perciformes, Percidae. The record is from RefSeq and is a predicted model, not a curated record.
UGGGUUUGGGAAAAGAACAGGUUGGGUUUGGAUUAAGAACAGGUUGGGUUUAGGAAAAGAAGAAUAGGUUGGGUUUAGGAUAAGAGGAACAGAAUGGUUGGGUUUAGGAUUAAAACAGGUUGGGUUUAGAUUAAGAACAGGAUGGUUGGGUUUAGGAAAAGAACCAGUUGGGUUUAGGAAAA